CUCAUUUUGUCCUAAAAAUUUCCCUUUGCCCUCUCUAAUUCUGAAUUUGCUCAUUAUUUCUAAAACCUCUUUAUUCUACCUUUCAGUACUCCUCCAUUGUUCUGCAGUAAAUACCACGUCCUUAAAGAGUCUGCCUGUAACAUAAGUAGAUUGACUAGCAUGGAGAUGUCAUAGGUGAUGAAAUCAGCAAUCAACAACAUGAAAAUGCUUGCAGAAUUGCCUGGAUGAAGACAGGAAGGACUGGGCAUGAUACAAGAACCUCAAUAAAACACAGCCAAGAGGACCAGCGAGAUGGCUCACAGACUAAAGGCAUUUAUGACAAAGACCAACAACCUGAGUUUAGUCACCAAAGCCCUCACUGUGGGACAAGAAACAACUUCUGCCCGUGGUCCUCACCUCCGCAUGAGCACCACUGCAUGCCUGUGCCUCCUCCCCAACUGCACACAUAAGAAUAAAUACAUGUAAAUUGCCUGUUUGUCUGAAGACAUAUCUGCUGAUUGGAUUCUUGAUCAUUGUCUCUCUAAAGAAUCAAACAUCCUCUAGUUGCCAGGCAGCCAAGAGUCAGGCUCUCAGCCAUGUGCUCUUGCCAAGGAUUCUUGGUGACGUUUGGGGUUUUCCCAAAAGAGUUGGAUUCUAGAUACUUAUCCUUCAACCGGUGAUGACUUUCCGAGACCACAGGUAGUUGGUUGUGCAGCUCUCUUCCUUUGUGAGCAAAGAAUGUUCCAUCGCUGGCCCACAUUUUGUGCCUCUUUCUCAAGGAGCAGAUGUUGCCAUUCUCAGCAUGAAUCUAAGACUGACCUCAGAUGACUGUGUAAACAAAGCUGAUUUGUGGGAGAAAAAUAUGGCAAACCCUGAAAUUUGAUGAGCGCUCUUUAUUAAAAUUAGCUAUAAACUGUA
This is a long non-coding RNA of Arvicola amphibius (Eurasian water vole), 897 nucleotides long. RefSeq lists it as uncharacterized. The transcript is spliced from 3 exons. Lineage: Eukaryota; Metazoa; Chordata; Mammalia; Rodentia; Cricetidae. The record is from RefSeq and is a predicted model, not a curated record.